GUCAGAUUGGACGCUGGCGGCAUGCCUUACACAUGCAAGUCGAACGGCAGCGCGGGAGCAAUCCUGGCGGCGAGUGGCGAACGGGUGAGUAAUACAUCGGAACGUGCCCAAUCGUGGGGGAUAACGCAGCGAAAGCUGUGCUAAUACCGCAUACGAUCUACGGAUGAAAGCAGGGGAUCGCAAGACCUUGCGCGAAUGGAGCGGCCGAUGGCAGAUUAGGUAGUUGGUGAGGUAAAGGCUCACCAAGCCUUCGAUCUGUAGCUGGUCUGAGAGGACGACCAGCCACACUGGGACUGAGACACGGCCCAGACUCCUACGGGAGGCAGCAGUGGGGAAUUUUGGACAAUGGGCGCAAGCCUGAUCCAGCCAUGCCGCGUGCAGGAUGAAGGCCUUCGGGUUGUAAACUGCUUUUGUACGGAACGAAACGGCCUUUUCUAAUAAAGAGGGCUAAUGACGGUACCGUAAGAAUAAGC
RNAcentral lists this ribosomal RNA (473 nucleotides) under Variovorax sp. MG50. RNAcentral's name for it is "bacterial SSU rRNA". It matches the Rfam family "Bacterial small subunit ribosomal RNA", at positions 23 to 491 of the family's 1533-position model. The record is from RNAcentral. Lineage: Bacteria; Pseudomonadati; Pseudomonadota; Betaproteobacteria; Burkholderiales; Comamonadaceae.